This 238-nucleotide ribosomal RNA is filed under the name uncultured bacterium. RNAcentral describes it as "partial 16S ribosomal RNA". It matches the Rfam family "Bacterial small subunit ribosomal RNA", at positions 103 to 334 of the family's 1533-position model. The record is from RNAcentral.
CGGGUGAGUAAUACAUAAGUAACCUGCCCUAGACAGGGGGAUAACUAUUGGAAACGAUAGCUAAGACCGCAUAGGUACGGACACUGCAUGGUGACCGUAUUAAAAGUGCCCCAAAGCACUGGUAGAGGAUGGACUUAUGGCGCAUUAGCUGGUUGGCGGGGUAACGGCCCACCAAGGCGACGAUGCGUAGCCGACCUGAGAGGGUGACCGGCCACACUGGGACUGAGACACGGCCCAG